GAUGAACGCUGGCGGCGUGCCUAAUACAUGCCAGUCGAGCGAACAGAUGAGGAGCUUGCUCCUCUGACGUUAGCGGCGGACGGGUGAGUAACACGUGGAUAACCUACCUAUAAGACUGGGAUAACUUCGGGAAACCGGAGCUAAUACCGGAUAAUAUAUUGAACCGCAUGGUUCAAUAGUGAAAGACGGUUUUGCUGUCACUUAUAGAUGGAUCCGCGCCGCAUUAGCUAGUUGGUAAGGUAACGGCUUACCAAGGCAACGAUGCGUAGCCGACCUGAGAGGAUGAUCGGCCACACUGGAACUGAGACACGGUCCAGACUCCUACGGGAGGCAGCAGUAGGGAAUCUUCCGCAAUGGGCGAAAGCCUGACGGAGCAACGCCGCGUGAGUGAUGAAGGUCUUCGGAUCGUAAAACUCUGUUAUUAGGGAAGAACAAAUGUGUAAGUAACUAUGCACGUCUUGACGGUACCUAAUCAGAAAGCCACGGCUAACUACGUG
This 497-nucleotide ribosomal RNA is filed under the name uncultured bacterium. Its description in RNAcentral is "partial 16S ribosomal RNA". It matches the Rfam family "Bacterial small subunit ribosomal RNA", at positions 28 to 507 of the family's 1533-position model. The record is from RNAcentral.